RNAcentral lists this ribosomal RNA (237 nucleotides) under uncultured bacterium. Its description in RNAcentral is "partial 16S ribosomal RNA". It matches the Rfam family "Bacterial small subunit ribosomal RNA", at positions 540 to 776 of the family's 1533-position model. The record is from RNAcentral.
GUUAAUCGGAAUUACUGGGCGUAAAGUGUGCGCAGGCGGCAGAGCAAGUCGAGUGUGAAAGCCCCGGGCUUAACUUGGGAAUUGCGCUCGAAACUACUUUGCUGGAGUGUGGCAGAGGAAGGUGGAAUUCCACGUGUAGCGGUGAAAUGCGUAGAGAUGUGGAGGAACACCAAUGGCGAAGGCAGCCUUCUGGGCCAACACUGACGCUCAUGCACGAAAGCGUGGGGAGCAAACAGG